Molecule: ribosomal RNA, 596 nt
Filed under: embryophyte environmental sample
Lineage: Eukaryota; Viridiplantae; Streptophyta
Description: eukaryotic LSU rRNA
Rfam family: 5.8S ribosomal RNA (bases 181-336)
Source: RNAcentral
GAGGAAGGAGAAGUCGUAACAAGGUUUCCGUAGGUGAACCUGCGCGACCCGCGAACUUGUAUAAACAACCGGGGGCAGGGGCGAUCUCGGUCUGCGCCAAGGAACUUCAAUUAAAGAGUGCCUCCGGUCGCCUCGGAAACGAUGCGCGUGUCGGAGGCGAAUCUUGUACAAAACCAUAACGACUCUCGGCAACGGAUAUCUCGGCUCUCGCAUCGAUGAAGAACGUAGCGAAAUGCGAUACUUGGUGUGAAUUGCAGAAUCCCGCGAAUCAUCGAGUCUUUGAACGCAAGUUGCGCCCGAAGCCAUCUGGUCGAGGGCACGUCUGCCUGGGUGUCACGCAUCGUCGCCCCCAACCCCAUCGCCUCUCCAAGAGUCGAGGGCAGUCUGUGGGGCGGACAUUGGCCUCCCGUGCGCUUCCAAUUGCGGUUGGCCUAAAAGCGAGUCCUAGGCGACGAGCGCCACGACAAUCGGUGGUUACCAAACCCUCGUGUCCCGUCGUGCGUGCCUCGUCGCUCAUCUUGUGCUCUGUGACCCUGUAGCGUCGCGAUCGCGACUCUUCCAAUGCGACCCCAGGUCAGGCGGGACUACCCGCUGAA